AAUAGUGUGCCUGAUAUUUAAAAGGAUUAUUUUGAUAGAGUAAAUCAUGCAUUUUUUGCCACUAUUA
This 67-nucleotide transfer RNA is filed under the name Erotylidae sp. BMNH 1274780. RNAcentral's name for it is "tRNA-Ile". Lineage: Eukaryota; Metazoa; Arthropoda; Insecta; Coleoptera; Erotylidae. The record is from RNAcentral.